GGCUGUCAUUAUAGCACUUGGGAGAAACAUAACAUUGGAGAUUUCUUUUGCAUAUUUGAUUGCCAUGUCAUAAAAUGUUAACUUUGACCUUUGCUGAAGCUGAGUUAUAUAAAAAUGAGGUAGCAUAAUUCAUAGAUGAAGCCCAGUCUCUGACAUGAAGAAUUCAACCUUUCUGCUUCACAAAAUGAGGGAAGAACAUCAGAAAUCCUACACUAACAUGUAAGGAUCCGCUAAGAUCACACAGUUUUACAAAGUGAAAGGAAAGCUGCCUGAACAUACUGGGAGGACAGUCUUGGCAUUAGUCCAGCAUGGCCUUUCUUUCUCAACUUGGGCUUCUGCUGUGGAAGAACUUUACACUCCGGAAGCGACACAAGGUUCGAUUAGCAGUGGAGUUACUAUGGCCGCUCUUCCUUUUCUUUAUUCUUGUAGCAGUUCGGACAACAAACCUUCCAAUUUAUAAGGG
Protopterus annectens (West African lungfish) is the source of this 463-nucleotide long non-coding RNA. RefSeq lists it as uncharacterized. NCBI's taxonomy places the organism in Eukaryota, Metazoa, Chordata, Ceratodontiformes, Protopteridae. The transcript is spliced from 3 exons. The record is from RefSeq and is a predicted model, not a curated record.